RNAcentral lists this ribosomal RNA (402 nucleotides) under uncultured bacterium. Its description in RNAcentral is "bacterial SSU rRNA". It matches the Rfam family "Bacterial small subunit ribosomal RNA", at positions 355 to 774 of the family's 1533-position model. The record is from RNAcentral.
UGGGGAAUAUUGGACAAUGGGGGCAACCCUGAUCCAGCCAUGCCGCGUGAAUGAUGAAGGCCUUCGGGUUGUAAAGUUCUUUUGGUGGGGACGAUGAUGACGGUACCCACAGAAUAAGCUCCGGCUAACUUCGUGCCAGCAGCCGCGGUAAUACGAAGGGGGCUAGCGUUGUUCGGAAUUACUGGGCGUAAAGGGCGCGUAGGCGGUUUGACAAGUUGGGUGUGAAAGCCCAGGGCUCAACCCUGGAACUGCACUCAAGACUGUUUUACUUGAAUUCGGUAGAGGUUGGUGGAAUUCCCAGUGUAGAGGUGAAAUUCGUAGAUAUUGGGAAGAACACCCGUGGCGAAGGCGGCCAACUGGACCGACAUUGACGCUGAGGCGCGAAAGCGUGGGGAGCAAACA